Bacillus rossius redtenbacheri is the source of this 7675-nucleotide long non-coding RNA. RefSeq lists it as uncharacterized. Lineage: Eukaryota; Metazoa; Arthropoda; Insecta; Phasmatodea; Bacillidae. The record is from RefSeq and is a predicted model, not a curated record. The transcript is spliced from 3 exons.
GACCGUCAUCUGCUAUCGGGUACUGUAUUCAUUGGCCGUGGUGUUGUUCCAGCUGAAUUCUGAACUGAUACUAAAGUCUCUGAUACUUUUCAAGUGUCCUCGUUUGCCAUUCCUGAUACAGGCGCGUAUCAGUGCCAAAGUAUCAGGUUGAUACUUUUCGACCCACCUCUAAGCAGCAGAGGCAUUUGGGAAAUGUUCCGGGAGAUCGUCUUCGUUUCCGUGAUUCGUGUAUGUUUACGUGUCAUUGUGAAACGGUCCUAAGGCUUCUUUGAUCAUAUUGGGCUGGUUUAACAUAAGUAUUAAACAAUAUAUGUACUUUCUAACAAUCGAUACCUAGUUUCAUAACACAGUGAUGAGCCGAUGGCAAGCAAAUACCCCAAGAUAACCGAGCCACGUUGCGUGGCUGCCGGAGCGGUACCUGGGAGCAGAGCGAGGCCUCUUCGUGGAAGUAGCCCCGCACGAAGUCGCAGUACUCCUUGGUGGUGAUGCGGCACAUGCCGUGGAUGCCGAUGCAGCACGGGUGCCCGAUCACCUCGCACACCAUGUGCUCGGCGAUCUUGUCCUUGUAGGGCGUCCGCUGCUGCGUCCGGGAGUUGGUCUUGCGGCAGAUGGGCCACUUGGUGAUGUCGUCGGGCCACUCGUAGGGCGCCACCGACGCAGGUGCCUCGCAGAACCUGCGCCACAGUCCGGCGUCGAGAGUUCCUUGUCUUUCGUAGAGCUCACCGAAUCGCUAGUUACUAGGGACACGAUCAUGUGGUGAAUUGCGAUAAAACAGAAAUAACACUGGAAAGCACGUCAGUAUACCAUAUACCUAAAACUGAAAUUCAAUUUAACACACCACAAUGAAAUGCAACUAAAAAUUAUGAAAAUAAACUUUCAAUCAAAACUUUACAUUAAUGAUGAAUACUUAAAUGUCUAAAAAUCAAAUCCAACGAAGAUAAUUUAUUUACAAUGAUGUUUGUACCACAAUUUAAUAAAAAAAGAAAGAUUGGUAAAGUUUACUAUUUUUUAUCUUGCAACUGGUAACAGUUACUCAUUUUUUACAAUAUACCUUAAGAACCUUUUUCAAACACAGAAUUACUUAUAGGAUUUAUUUCAUAUGUACCGAAAAGUUAGACAUGCUUAUUAGAAAUUAUAAUAUUGAAAACGUGCAUCAUGUAGGUAUCAGUCAAAAUGACAUUGUUUUGGAGAAAUUAGUAUCAUGGAAUCUUUAAGUAACCUAAUUUGUUCAGUAAUAUGCGAUAUUUUUCAAUAAACAUAUUUCACAAAAACUAAAAACAAUAAAACCAUAAUCUCCUGUUUUAAAAACAAAAUUGGCCUGAAAAUAAAACCACAAAAUCUUGUCUACUAAUUACAAAAUUGCCAGUUUAAGCAGGGCCAGACAUACGCUGCAAGCAAGGGGAACUGAUUAAUUAAUCAACCAUGGCAUCCACCAGGAGUGUUAUCGGAAAACCACGGAAAACUGAAACUAGCAUCGAUGCAUCAGGAUUCGAACCAGCUUAGUCAGGGAUGGCUUAUUUAUAAGCUAAAAUUAAGGUUAAAUCUCACGCACCGUGUUCAAAAUUUUUUCAUCAUUACUUUUAUUAAGGGCUAUUCUUGAAAUUUUAACUCAGUGCAUCUUUUGCAUUUGCUAUUCUGCCACAAAUUUUUUCAAGAGAAAAUUUAUUUAGUGUAAUAUGGGUGUAAAAAGUAGCGCAAGUGAUAAUAAUUACAAAAACUUGUGCGCCUUGUGACACCCAUGAUAUUACACUAAUUGAAUAUCUAUUGAAAAUUUUUGUGACAGAAAUAGAAAUGCAAGUAAGGUAUUGUUUUAAAAUUGUAGAAAUAACCCUUAAAUAAAGGCAAAAAUGAAAAAAUCAACAUUACACCAAAGACAGAGCCUCAUUAUGUUACUACUAAAAUUGCCCCACAAUUCCAUGCCUUCCUUGGGAUUCAAACCCAGUAACCUUCCCAGCAAACUAACUGUGCUACGGAGGCAUGCUGUUCUAAAUCUGUGCCAAGAUAUUUAAAGUUGUGCAAGUGGUAGGUAUAUGUUGUUGCAAGCCAGUGGGUUUUCUCCAGAUGUUUUUGUCUACCCCUACAAAAUACAAUCUGUCAAUGAUUAAAUUUUACCUUGCAUAUUUCUCAGUUGAGGGUCUUCAUUUCAGAAACUGAAAUAGGGGAAGUCAAAUUAAGUAGGGUAGACCGGGGGAAAUCGGGUCAAUUUUUUGAAAUUCCUGAAUAAGUAUAAAAUCAAUAUUAAUUUACCAUAAAAUAAUGUACAGUAAUAUCAGUCAUACAUUUAUGUACAUAUUUACAUACAAACAUUAGCCAAUCUUCCUUACGAAUUGACAUUAAACUUGAUAAAAGGAAAAUGAAAUGUUUUGACCCGAUUUGGACAGAAGUGGGGUAAAUCGGAUCACAAGUGGGGCAAAUCGGAUCAACAGAUUUUCUUUACUGUUUUGACAGACACAUUCCGCAUAAAAACUGUUUACACUGAAAAGCAUUGACACAGCGCUCAUGGUACCACAUUUUACAAGACUGGCACUGAAUUCAGUCUCCAGCAGUGCAGCUUCUGAUGUCUUUGUAUGCAAUUUUGCACAUGUUGCAAAGAACAUCUUCCUCAUCAUCCUGGCCUUCUUCCAAAAUUUCCAACUCGGAUGUGUUUUUAGUUUUUGUUCGCUUCUUCGUCUUCAGAGGUUCAAUUUAGCUUUGCUUUGAACUUAAUUUAACACCUGCUUCUUGCUUUUCAAUUUCCUGGAUUCCAACAAUGUGCGAUUCUCUUUUGACAGUAGCCUUAGAGAAGCAACAGUUUUUCGUUCACCGAUUCUUUUUGGUGUUAAUUUUUCCGGUGUUGGUAACAGGCAUCUCACUUCUUCUGUGGUGCUCCUUCCACUUACAUCUUUGGCAGUGAACUCGUAAUUCUAUAUUUACAUGGAUAAUAUUUUCAUUAUUUUAACAUGUCCUAAACUUCAAUAUUAUUAUAAGUACUUACAAAUUUUAACUAAAGUUGAAGUCAUGUGCCUUAAGAGGCCGUGUCACAAAUUUGUGUUCCUAUCUAUAUCAAUGUUAUUUUAAAAGGCAGUUUUUCUCAAAGUCUAUAAGAGGUAGGGGCUGGAAAUUUUGCCUACUGAAUGUAUACAAUACAUUUAACAUAACCGCUUUUUUCAAAUUUAGUUAUCAUAUCAUAUAUAUUAUUUCUGUGAUGAAAAUAAUAUUAUCAAUAUUUUGAUUUGUCCAGAUAAAGUGAAAUUUUGCUUAUAUUUAUAAUUAUUUAGCAAAAACUGAAAAGACCAUUGAAAUGUAUUGCACAUUACGUUUUGAUCAGUGUCUUCAUGAUCAUGAUGGGUUUAAAAACCUGGGUGUAAUCAAGUCUUUAACUAUUACAUGACAACAUUUAUACUUAAUAAUUUGGAGAUAGGCCUUUUUCAUCCUCAGCCCCUGAGCUUUUACUAUCUGGUCUGGCAAUCGACCUGACACUCUUCAACCACCCCAGGGGUCUCCGAUUGCACAUCCCAUCAAAAAAAAAAGCUGUUCGUUCAUUUGUUUUUGUGUUCGAGCGAAGGUUUACUUCUCCACAAGUGCCACAGACUUCACACAUUUAUGCCAAGGGAAUAUUCCGCUGAUGUGAUGCCAUACUAAUGUAUUAUUCGCGACCAUACAACUUUUUUGUUUGUCAUCGGGAAAAUGACGCCGCAGUUUGAUUUUUUGUGGUGAUAUAAAAUAAAUUUUCUUGCUAGGGAAUGUUCAUUUUGAAUUAAGCAUUUUCAAAUGUCAGCGUAGAAUAUGCUUAUCUGCCCAUUUUGUUUCUUUCCAUAAUAAUGAGUAAAGUUAACAUUGUCAUAGACAUUUUAUUAUAUUCGUUUGCCGUCCAAGUCAAAUGUCACACUAUAUCGCACGUAAUUAUAUUUUUUUACUAAUUUGUUAGUUAUCAUUUUAUUUAAGUUACAAAUAACAGUAAUAAAAAAAUAUUACUUAAUAGUCCAGAAUAGAGAUUGAGUUAUUAUUCAUUUAAUAGGGGUUUAAAAUAUGAUACUACAUACAUAUUUAUAUUAUCUUGUUGUCUUCUUUGUAACUUUACUGGAAGAAUGGCAUUUGGUAUGUAUGUUAACUCACAAUGAAAAUACUUCAGAAGUACUCAAUUAACAGUGAACAACCUAGGGCCUAUACUAAUUUCAUUAUGUUCAUGAAAUAUUAUUGAAAUUACUAAUAAAGAACUGUGUUUCAUGUAGAGAUAUCGUACGAACUGUAUGUGGUACAGACCAACAUUUGCUAAGACUCUGUAAAUAAUUAAUUUCAGUUAAUGUGUAGAGAAUAUUAAAAAUUAGAAAUAAUGAUAUAUAUAAAACAAUGCAAAGUGAUCAGCAUAAAAAUAGAAGUUAUUUUUACGUAGCGCCUACUGGAAUGAGUAUUUUGUGUUGAAUUAUGUGGCAUGAUUAAUAUUCUCUUAUGGUAAGCGUGUUUUGUUAAAAUCUUAUAAAACAUAACUUACCUACUGUUGAAUGAUUUUCAUUUUUUUGUGAUGAUCUUACUUAAACAAGUUUUAAUUAUAUUACAUAUGUGUAUUUUAAAAGCAUUUUAAUGUAUACUUAUAGAAUUUUAAUAGGCUUUAUACGGACUCUCACGAUGCAUGUGAGCAUCUAUAUUUAUUAGAGACCGGAAAAAUUCGCGGAUUCAUUCGGCGAUAGGCUAGAAGUCAAAUACAUAUACCUUUUAGAUGAUUUUGCUAUUGGCUUACUGUUCAUCUGGACGAAUCUCAACCAAUUAUGAACCUCCAACCAAAGAAGGAUCGAAUCACAGACAAACCAGCUGAGACAACUAACAAGUCAGCAGCAAAUGAACUGGCGUUAUUUGCCCGAGCGUACAGGGGAAUGUGCAGUCUAUCCUGAAGGCCGUCGAAACCGCGAAUUUUUCCGGUCCCUAAUCUACAUCAAUAUUAUGGCCGUUUGACAAGAUCAAAUAUUUAUUGAAUUCAAUCAGUUGCAUUCAUUGUACAUGAUUUUCGAUAUGUACAUUGAAUUCAAUAUAAAUUGAAGAUGUUACUCAACUAAGCUUAUUCUUAUUAACUUAUAAGUAUUUUGUUUGUUCAGUACAUAAAAGUAAAAGAUUCUUUAUUAUUUAAAUAAUGAGCAUCUAUAAGCAAUAACGUUUUCAAAAUAUUUACAUAAACAUAAUGGAAUAUAUUUUUUAAAUACUUUAUAUCUACGAUAACAUCAACGGCAGUAUUGUGUAAUCAAUGAGGUAAUGAAAUAUCUUAAAAGGAUAUUUUCUCCUCUGUAAAGUAAAUUUGUAAUGCAGCCCUCUUAAUGUUAGUCUUGUGAGUUAUUUCGUCUUCUAAUAUGCUACAGCAAUAUAUAAAAUUAAGUUUUGUUAGUGUUUUAGUCUUGUGUAAUGUUAAAGUGUAAUGUAAUAAAUUCAAUAAUUUUUUUGUAAAUUCGUAUUCAUAAAGGUAGGCUACAUAUCGUAAUAAGAUAAAUAGUAAUAUUUGUAAAUUUAAAUUCUUUGAAACAACGUCGAUAAGAGGUUCUCCUACCUCUGUUAAACUGUAUGAUGGUGCAUUGUAAAAAAUUAGGUAGUCUGACUUAAGUGAGAUUGUAUUUAGAUUGUGUGUGAUGCAUAUGCAAUAUCUAAGCAUAUGCAUUUAUGUUAUUAUCCUUUUAAAACGUUACAUGAUGAAUUUCGUAUACUUUUUAAUGUCAACUAACAUUUUUCCCGGAAUAUUACAUCCAGAUAAAUAAUAAUUACCACAUGUUUGAAGAUUAAUUGUAUUCCGAUACGUUUAAAGUAUUAAAAUUUUUAGAUACGACUGAUACUACAGUUGUAAAUGUGAGGUUUCUUGACUCUGAAUCCCUGCAUCCGCAAUUUCCUAGUGAGCCGCCGGUCAGAUUGUCAUCCUCUCAGAUUGUCGAGGAACCAGAUACAUUUUUCGUCGAGUAAACUCGAGCUGUCAACCUUCCCACUAAUCCUGUGAUAAGGGUAUAGUAGCUUUAUCACGCGCUGCGGCUACAGUUCCUUCGGUUGAAAAAGCCAAUAAAUCUCACUGUUAAAAGAGAGAACUUCUAGAGCAGAAUAUUGGAAAUAAACAUUUACUGACACGGCCUCUUAAAUUAGUUUUUUCCACUUAUUUAGAAUAGGUCUUAACUUAAAAAUUGAGAAAGAAGAAUAAAGUGCUUCACAAUAUAUAGCAAAUAUAUGAAGCGACCCGAUUUCCCAACAGUAUGCAGUGACUCGUUUUACCCCAAUGGCAGCGACCCGAGUUACCCCAUUUCGCACUUUAAAAAAAAGAAAAAUAUUAUAAAUUCUGUCAAACAUAUAGAGCUUCAGUAAUGCAGAAGAAUGUUAAUUGGGUACAUAUUUUCGUACUCCAUUACUUAAACUACAAUACUAUUUCGAAAUGCGAACGUAAAGGCUUAUUUGAAACAAAAUAAAACUUACAUUGUUAAGAAUUUUCCACUUCAGGACUGCACAGGUUCGGGUUCAUGUCGCACAGACUACCAGAAUGUUGUUACAGACGAUAUUCGCCUUGUAGUGGACGGUUGUAUAGACAGAUAACAGCACUCUUUGGUAGGUUCCGUAGACUCCAGUUCAUUCUUUCGCCACAAGACAGCAGAUCUUGUUACGAUGACCCGGUUUACCCCGUGACCCGAUUUUCCCCGGUCUACCCUAUUGUGUUAAACUUUGUCUGUGCAAGAUCCUCAUUCUCCCAAUAGCGUACACACACACACACACACACACUGAAGUUUGAAGUCAGUGAAAGAAAGUGUAAAAACAAUUAGCAUUAGUAAACUUGGCUAAGUUAUGCAUUGUUUUAUGUAACAUGUGUGUGUUUUAUCCACUUAUUAAGGUGAUUUCAUUCUACAGCUCCAGCAGUGUCCCAGAACUGUUUGUUGGGGAAACUUACCAUGGUUGCACUCAAGAAAGCAGCCGACAAAGAACGACCAUCAACUCAAAAGCUAUUUUACAGCCCCCUAGACCCAUGGGCCCCGUUGCCAUAGCAACGCUAGCACCGGCCAUGUGGGGGCCCUGGCCGCACACACAGCCGUGCCAGUGCUGCCGAGACGAGCGCUGCAAGUACUCUGACGCAUGCACGUUUUGGAACGGUGGCCAUCGAACAUCAAUGCAGUUUCAACGAGAACUCCAAACUGGAGGAUCAAGAUGAGGAAUGAGAUAGUGCAAGCAAGAACAUUUGAGUACAGGACUUGAACGAUAUAAUAGAAAAGCAAGAAUGUGAUGAUAUGGUCAUGCAAAGAGAAUGGGAAAAGGUAGGCUGCCUAGGAAAAUGAUGGCGUUGAAGUACAAAGGAAGAAGGCCCCAAGAAAGAUCAAGGAGAAGGUGGUAAGAGCAGAUAGUUAAAGGAGUGCAGGAGAGAGGAGAAGAAUGGAACAGGUGAAGAAGGGGGAAAGGUGAAGUGACAGAGGAAGAUGGAGUCGUUUUACUUUGCUGACCCAGUCGCAGGCUGUAAGUAGUUGAGGGUGAAGAUGCCAUAAGAAAAAUAAUUAAUAUACAGUACAAUUUGUACAAGUUGUAAUAAGCUGCUCUAUUAAAAGAAAAACCAAAUAUGACCAUUGGGUGUUCUUAAAAAAAAAAUCACUACAGAAAUGCACCCAUGAAUUGUGAAAUAUGACCCUUGAGGAAACAGGAAACAUGUUACAAUGCAAAUACUUUGAAAAAAUAAACUUAAAUACCACAGAAAAUA